This is a long non-coding RNA of Neoarius graeffei (lesser salmon catfish), 1620 nucleotides long. RefSeq lists it as uncharacterized. NCBI's taxonomy places the organism in Eukaryota, Metazoa, Chordata, Actinopteri, Siluriformes, Ariidae. The record is from RefSeq and is a predicted model, not a curated record. The transcript has 3 exons.
AAGCUGCCUGGUUUUGUAAAGGCUAGCGAAAAUACAACUCAGUGAGGCGUCGAAAUAAAAAAAAAUUGUCGAGGAAAAUUUUUUAUUUAUUUUUUUUUCCUCUGUGCCUCGUGUCAUCACAGUGUAGAGGUGCUGCGGUGAAGCCUUGGCGCCAUUUUCAAACUACAGAGCCCGAGUGAAUGGAACUCUUGUUAUACCUAAAAUUGUGAUUUUGCGCUUUUUUAUUUUUAUUUUUUAAUCUUCUCAUCGGUCAUUAUUUUACACUUUGCAGUGAUUAUAUUGACUCCAAGGACAAGAUUAAAGGGAGAAAAAGGUGCAGAAUUGACUUCAGAGGACGAUUGGUGUUCAGUGAGUUCCUUUUGGGAUUAUCAGCCACCUUCACCUCUCCUCUGUUGCUCGAGAGGGUGAAGAAAAAGGGCCGAGGUUUAUGGUUGUGAGCAGAGAGCCAGGUUCAACGGGACAGGAGAGGCAGGUCACUGGAGUUCAUGAUGAGACUUGAGUCAAGAUUCAGACUUUCUGUAAGAUAAAAACGUGGAAGAAAAGAUUCUUAACAUUCGUUUCAAUGAACAUGGCCAACAACACACUCACUCAGAUUGAAGGUGCCAUUGUUAUCAAGUCUAAUUGCAUUGACAUUACAUGAGUGACAUCUGUAAGACCUGUAAAGGUGAAUGUUCAAAAUAUCCAAAACAAGUGUAUUUUGUCUUUUUAUUCCAUUAUAUUCUUUAGACCUAGCAUUGUCUUGAGCAGUGGUUCUCAACAUGGGGUCGAGGGACAGCCCAACAUCCGUGGUUUUAUUUAUAAUUUCCAUUCUGUUACAGUGGUGCAAGUCACAACCCUACAUUAUUAAAGUUAUGUUUAGUGGCCCAAGCACCAAGUCAACCAGGAUUUGAAUCUGGAAGUUUCAGGAAUAGAAAGCUCUCUUGCUCAAAAAAUUGAUUUAAAAAAAAAAAAAAAGGUCAUGGAAUAAAUCCAUUCCUCCAAGCUUGAGGGAGGGUCCAUGGAAUUUAUUUUACAGUUUAAGGGGUCACUGGCUGCAAAAGGUUUGGGAACCAUUGAACUUGGAAGACUACAGUAUGGAUGCAGACCCAGCAAAGUAGUUCAGUGGAUCAAACCAAGAACUGGACUGAAGGCUCAUCAAGAAACAUUUCACAGACUUUCACUGAUUCCUCCCCUCCAUGGUCUGAUUAGUGAAUAGAUGGAAGUAUGUGUUUAUUCUCCUAACACAAGUUCAAAACUGAUGUGUCUCAUCUGUUUGGAGUCUGUGGCAUUAGUUAAGAGAUGUGAAGUGUGAUGCAUAAAACAAAACCAAAAAAGCCUGCUUCAAAACAAUUGGUCUUAUUUCUGUUCCUGAACAUGAACAAAUCAAUAAUGGCUUAACAUGAAAUGGUAACUGAUUGCAUUCAGUUAUGUUAGUGGCUUAGUAAGCAAGGAAUUUUAUCGAGCAGGACCUUCAGAAAUUUAGGGAUCGAUCGAUCGAUAGAUAGUCCAUCUCAGAAACUGGUCUCUCAUUUGGGACAUUAUGGUCAAAAAAUAAAUUUAAUUUGACUUUUUUUGCAUUUACCUAACACUCAAUGUUUCUUUUGUCAUGUUUAAUAAGAAUAAAGAUAGUAUCUUGCUUUA